Homalodisca vitripennis (glassy-winged sharpshooter) is the source of this 724-nucleotide long non-coding RNA. RefSeq lists it as uncharacterized. NCBI's taxonomy places the organism in Eukaryota, Metazoa, Arthropoda, Insecta, Hemiptera, Cicadellidae. The record is from RefSeq and is a predicted model, not a curated record. The transcript has 3 exons.
AGCCCCUUGAAUAUUGAUGAUCUUGAGGUAGAGAACUUGGAGGAAGAGCAGUUAAAUCGAUUUUCUUUUACUGGCUACAUCACAGACGUAUUUAGAAGGAUUUCAGAAAACAACACAGCAGCAGCUGUUGGCCCCUUGAAUAUUGAUGAUCUUGAGGUAGAGAACUUGGAGGAAGAGCAGUCAUAUAGAUGUUCUUUUACUGGCUACAUCACAGACGUAUUUAGAAGGAUUUCAGAAAACAACACAGUAACUGAUCUUCUACGAGAAGUUAGGAGGAAUGGGUUCUGGACUACCAUCUAUAGAAAGAUAAGCACAUGGUGGACUUCUAAUUUUAAUAGGAGGCCGGAAUCACCAGUUGUUUUCCAGCAAAUCCCAUUACCCCCCCCAUUAGAACCUGAAAAUCAACCAGACCCCGACCAAGAGUAUCCUGUCCAAGACAUCACAUACCUGACAAGUCUCUAUUAGUUACUUAGUCUGCUUAUGUUUGAUAUAGACUGAAAGAAUACACUUCAAGAUUGCUGAAUUCAGCUUUAAUUUUUAAAGACACAAGUGUAUAGACACAUGAAACAUUAGGUUUAGUGAUUUGUAGGUUCUUUUAUAAAUAGACACUAACAAUUAACUACAGUAAACUUUACUUUCUUUUUCACAUGUAACAUUUCCUCUCAUUUAAAAACUUAGUAAAAUUCCCUUUUAAAAAUUGUACACUUCAGUAAUUUUUCCAUAU